UGAAGUCUCAGAGCCGGGUGUUGGUUCCGGUAGAGAUCGAGGGGAAUUAGUACCGAAGUCUGAGAUGGAAGAUGGCGAGAAAAGCUGUGUGUAUUUCUGAGGUGCCCGUACCGCAAACCGACACAGGUAGGUAGGAAGAAGAUUCUAAGGCCAACGGGAGAAGGGUUGUUAAGGAACUCGGCAAAUUGACCCCGUAACUUCGGGAGAAGGGGUGCUCCAGAGAUGGAGCCGCAGAGAAUCGGCCCAAGCAACUGUUUACCAAAAACACAGGUUUGUGCUAAAUCGAAAGAUGACGUAUACGAGCUGACGCCUGCCCGGUGCUGGAAGGUUAAGAGGAGAUGUGCAAGCAUUGAAUCGAAGCCCCAGUGAACGGCGGCCGUAACAAUAACGGUCCUAAGGUAGCGAAAUUCCUUGUCAGGUAAGUUCUGACCCGCAUGAAAGGCGUAAUGAUUUGGGCACUGUCUCAACAGCCCGCCCGGCGAAAUUGUAGUACCGGUGAAGAUGCCGGUUACCCGCGACAAGACGGAAAGACCCCAUGGAGCUUUACUGUAGCCUAAUAUUGGGUUUCGAUGUUGCAUGCACAGGAUAGAUGGACACAGGGAAACAAUCGCUUUGGCGGUUGCGGAGUGGCCGUUGGGAUACCAUCCUUGCGAUAUUGGAAUUCUAACCUGCGGCUCUGAAUCGAGUCGGGGGACAUUGUUAGGUGGGCAGUUUGACUGGGGCGGUCGCCUCCUAAAAAGUAACGGAGGCGUUCAAAGGUUCGCUCAGCUUGAACGGAAAUCAAGCAAAAGAGUGCAAACGCAGAAGCGAGCCUAACUGCGAGACUGACGGGUCGAGCAGUAACGAAAGUUGGAGUUAGUGAUCCGGUGGUAUGUGAGUGGAAAUGCCGUCGCUCAACGGAUAAAAGUUACCCUGGGGAUAACAGGCUGAUCUCCCCCAAGAGUCCACAUCGACGGGGAGGUUUGGCACCUCGAUGUCGGCUCAUCGCAUCCUGGGGCUGUAUUCGGUCCCAAGGGUUUGGCUGUUCGCCAAUUAAAGCGGUACGCGAGCUGGGUUCAGAACGUCGUGAGACAGUUCGGUCCCUAUCUGUCGUGGGCGCAGGAUAUUUGAUGGGAGCUGUCCCUAGUACGAGAGGACCGGGACGGACGUACCUCUGGCGCACCAGUUGUUCCGCCAGGAGCAUAGCUGGGCAACUACGUACGGAUCAGAUAAACGCUGAAAGCAUCUAAGCGUGAAGCCGACCCAAAGAUAAGAUAUCCCACUGAUUCAAUCAGGUAAGAUCCCUUGAAGACUACAAGGUUGAUAGGCACGAUGUGUAAGUGGAGUGAUCCAUUCAGCAAGAGUGUACUAAUAGAUCGAGGGCUUGACCG
This 1370-nucleotide ribosomal RNA is filed under the name metagenome. RNAcentral describes it as "bacterial LSU rRNA". It matches the Rfam family "Bacterial large subunit ribosomal RNA", at positions 1477 to 2925 of the family's 2925-position model. The record is from RNAcentral.